RNAcentral lists this ribosomal RNA (253 nucleotides) under uncultured bacterium. Its description in RNAcentral is "partial 16S ribosomal RNA". It matches the Rfam family "Bacterial small subunit ribosomal RNA", at positions 524 to 776 of the family's 1533-position model. The record is from RNAcentral.
UACGUAGGGGGCAAGCGUUGUCCGGAUUUAUUGGGCGUAAAGAGCGUGUAGGCGGCCUGAAAGGUCAGCUGUGAAAACUCGAGGCUCAACCUCGAGACGUCGGUUGAAACCAUCUGGCUAGAGUCCGGAAGAGGAGUGUGGAAUUCCCGGUGUAGCGGUGAAAUGCGCAGAUAUCAGGAGGAACACCGAUGGCGAAGGCAGGUCUCUGGGCAUUAACUGACGCUGAGGAGCGAAAGCAUGGGGAGCGAACAGG